UACGAAGGGGGCUAGCGUUGCUCGGAAUCACUGGGCGUAAAGCGCACGUAGGCGGGUCUUUAAGUCAGGGGUGAAAUCCCGGAGCUCAACUCCGGAACUGCCUUUGAUACUGGAGAUCUUGAGUCCGGGAGAGGUGAGUGGAACUCCGAGUGUAGAGGUGAAAUUCGUAGAUAUUCGCAAGAACACCAGUGGCGAAGGCGGCUCACUGGCCCGGUACUGACGCUGAGGUGCGAAAGCGUGGGGAGCAAACAGG
RNAcentral lists this ribosomal RNA (253 nucleotides) under uncultured bacterium. RNAcentral describes it as "partial 16S ribosomal RNA". It matches the Rfam family "Bacterial small subunit ribosomal RNA", at positions 524 to 776 of the family's 1533-position model. The record is from RNAcentral.